CAUAGUCUCCCGUCUUCAAAAUAAAAUUGAAAAAAACAUGCCUCUAUUUGUUCAAAUGCGUAUCCUAUUACAGACACAGUAUAUGUUACGGCUUUUUUCAAUUCAUGGGUUGACACUAGUCAUUUUGUGAGCCAUCAAUAGCUUGCUGUUCGGUGUGAGCCAAUGCUCCGUGAUUAAGACAGUUAUUUACAAAUUAUGACAUGGAUAGAGAGUUGUCUCAUUGGCACUCAUAUAACAUCUUCUCAUAUUUAUAUAGGAUGUUUUUUUAGUAUUGUGUGUUUAUAACAUACAGUUUCUGUUUAAUGAUUCAAAAACCUUUGUGCAACUUUGAGUUAUAUAUAAUGUAAAUGUGUAAACAAAUGUCUAUAGUUUUUCGCGUCUGAACACAGUCUCUCUAACAUGUACCCCGCAUGUUUGUGAAUACAAUUAUAUGCAAGUACCAUAAAUUUAACAUGUAUUCCUUUUUAAACAUUCAACAACGUUAUUUGUUGUCUUAAAUAUACUGUGAUAGAUUCUAACAAAUUUUGUCAUAUUCCCUUUGAUUAGUUUUAGGAUGUAUUUCAUACUUAAAAAAACGAUAUUUCUUAUGUUGAAGCAAAUACGAAAUUGGUAAAAUCACCAGUGUCAUGACUAAAAAAAACUACUGAAACAAGGAUUA
RNAcentral lists this long non-coding RNA (658 nucleotides) under Mytilus galloprovincialis (Mediterranean mussel). Lineage: Eukaryota; Metazoa; Mollusca; Bivalvia; Mytilida; Mytilidae. The record is from RNAcentral.